GCUUAAUCUUAGAUAAAUAAUAAUUUAAAUUUUAAUAAUAUAAAAAUUUACUGUGAAUCUUUGAUUAUAUUGGGGCGAUAGAAGUAAAAAAUUAGUAACUGCUUAUAACUUUCAGACAAAUAUAAGUGAAUUUAAAUAAAAGAUCCAUUAUAAUGAUUACAAGAAUAAGUU
Molecule: ribosomal RNA, 171 nt
Filed under: Pachygrapsus minutus
Lineage: Eukaryota; Metazoa; Arthropoda; Malacostraca; Decapoda; Grapsidae
Description: partial 16S rRNA
Source: RNAcentral